AGAUUUGACCUCUCUCCCUGACGCGAGAAGCAGUCAUCCAGACAACAACAACAACAACCUGAGAAUCGUUUCUGCAGAGAGAGAUGAGAUUGUUCGAUCCAUGGCCAGUGUUCUUCAAGAGAGAAUGGAAACGUUGCUGGCCAUUCCUCACCGGUUUCGCCGUCACCGGCGUCCUCAUCACCAAGUUAACCGCCGGAUUCACUGAGGAAGAUGCCAAGAACUCCAAGUUCGUCCAGCAACACAGGAGGUGAGGAUGAUGAUUCACGAAAGUGUGGAAGCUAAGAGGCAUAUUUCUGGAACAUAUAUAGUGUUGGAUGCUUCAGCUUCGAAACUUGUUCAAUAACAAAAGAAGAGCAUUCGAUAUACUCUUUUUCUUUUCUCUGAGUUUUGCAGUUCUUAUUCUGAAACUUUACCAAUGCUAUGGUUUUGUUCACUGUAUCUUCUUCUUCCCAUUGGAAAUGGAUUCAAUAAGGCUUUGUCUCCCCAAUGAAUGUUAACUUUUUGUUCUAAUAAUCCUGUCAGUAGUUCCAAUCUUAA
Long non-coding RNA from Camelina sativa (false flax), 537 nucleotides. RefSeq annotates it as ATP synthase small subunit 6-A, mitochondrial. NCBI's taxonomy places the organism in Eukaryota, Viridiplantae, Streptophyta, Magnoliopsida, Brassicales, Brassicaceae. The record is from RefSeq and is a predicted model, not a curated record.